This 396-nucleotide ribosomal RNA is filed under the name uncultured bacterium. RNAcentral's name for it is "partial 16S ribosomal RNA". It matches the Rfam family "Bacterial small subunit ribosomal RNA", at positions 523 to 918 of the family's 1533-position model. The record is from RNAcentral.
AUACGUAGGGAGCGAGCGUUGUCCGGAAUUACUGGGUGUAAAGGGUGCGUAGGCGGGGAAGCAAGUCAGCAGUGAAAUCUAUGGGCUUAACUCAUAACGUGCUGUUGAAACUGUUUUUCUUGAGUGAGUCAGAGGCAGGGGGGAAUUCCCGGGGAGCGGUGAAAUGUAUAGAGAUCGGGAGGAACACCAGUGGCGAAGGCGGCCUGCUGGGGCUUAACUGACGCUGAGGCACGAGAGCGUGGGGAGCAAACAGGAUUAGAUCCCCUGGUAGUCCACGCCGUAAACGAUGAUUACUAGGUGUGUGGGGAGUGACCCCCUACGUGCCGGAGUUAACACAAUAAGUAAUCCACCUGGGGAGUACGGCCGCAAGGUUGAAACUCAAAUGAAUUGACGGGG